UCAUUACCGAGUUUACAACUCCCAAACCCCUGUGAACAUACCAAUUGUUGCCUCGGCGGAUCAGCCCGCUCCCGGUAAAACGGGACGGCCCGCCAGAGGACCCCUAAACUCUGUUUCUAUAUGUAACUUCUGAGUAAAACCAUAAAUAAAUCAAAACUUUCAACAACGGAUCUCUUGGUUCUGGCAUCGAUGAAGAACGCAGCAAAAUGCGAUAAGUAAUGUGAAUUGCAGAAUUCAGUGAAUCAUCGAAUCUUUGAACGCACAUUGCGCCCGCCAGUAUUCUGGCGGGCAUGCCUGUUCGAGCGUCAUUUCAACCCUCAAGCCCAGCUUGGUGUUGGGACUCGCGAGUCAAAUCGCGUUCCCCAAAUUGAUUGGCGGUCACGUCGAGCUUCCAUAGCGUAGUAGUAAAACCCUCGUUACUGGUAAUCGUCGCGGCCACGCCGUUAAACCCCAACUUCUGAAUGUUGACCUCGGAUCAGGUAGGAAUACCCGCUGAACUUAAGCAUAUCAUA
RNAcentral lists this ribosomal RNA (512 nucleotides) under Fusarium sp. Gib_42. Its description in RNAcentral is "eukaryotic LSU rRNA". The stretch from base 155 to 308 matches the Rfam family "5.8S ribosomal RNA". The record is from RNAcentral. Lineage: Eukaryota; Fungi; Ascomycota; Sordariomycetes; Hypocreales; Nectriaceae.